CCAUAGACACUCCCAGGGUUUCCUGGGGAUAACUGCCCUUCCUCCACAGGCCCUGCAGCCCGCCGCCUCAUACUAAGCACACAGAGGCGUCUGGGGCCUGCAUGAGUCUGAACCGCCAGAGGCAAGCAGGAAAUGGGACAUAUAGAGUGACUGUCAGCAGGGGCUUGGGACCCAAAAGGGGAUGCUUUUCACAGCCAACCAGAAAAUGAACUUAAAGCCCUCAAUCCCUGAGCCAUUCUUGUUUGUCUUGUUUUCUCUUGAGACAGGGUCUCACUCUGCCACCCAGGCUGGAAUGCAGUGGUGGGAAGACAUGAUUAAAUGAGCAGGUACAACAGGCCAAGUGCAGGCUGCAGGGAAAAGCAAGCAGCAUCUCCCACCCCAGGGUGUCAACAGAAGGCUCCCAGAAGAAAUAGGUCAAAACCCGAACCCAAAGUGGGGAGUGUGCCUGGCUCAGCUAAGGAACCCAAACGAAUUGAAUUC
This 480-nucleotide long non-coding RNA is filed under the name Homo sapiens (human). Its description in RNAcentral is "novel transcript, antisense to NLRC3". Lineage: Eukaryota; Metazoa; Chordata; Mammalia; Primates; Hominidae. The record is from RNAcentral.